UGGGGAAUAUUGCGCAAUGGACGAAAGUCUGACGCAGCGACGCCGCGUGUGGGAUGAAGCUCUUCGGGGUGUAAACCACUGUUGCCAGGGAAGAAACUCUUGAUUCGUCAAGACUGACGGUACCUGGUGAGGAAGCACCGGCUAACUCUGUGCCAGCAGCCGCGGUAAUACAGAGGGUGCGAGCGUUGUCCGGAAUCACUGGGCGUAAAGGGCGCGUAGGUGGCGGGAUAAGUGUGUGGUGAAAGCUCGGGGCUCAACCCCGAGUCUGCCAUGCAGACUGUCUUGCUCGAGCGUAGUAGAGGCAGGUGGAAUUCCGGGUGUAGCGGUGGAAUGCGUAGAGAUCCGGAAGAACAUCGGUGGCGAAGGCGGCCUGCUGGGCUACUGCUGACACUGAGGCGCGACAGCGUGGGGAGCAAACAGGAUUAGAUACCCUGGUAGUCCACGCCGUAAACGAUGGGUACUAGGUGUCUGGGGGAACGACCCCCUGGGUGCCGGCGCUAACGCAUGAAGUACCCCGCCUGGGGAGUACGGCCGCAAGGCUG
This 542-nucleotide ribosomal RNA is filed under the name uncultured prokaryote. Its description in RNAcentral is "bacterial SSU rRNA". It matches the Rfam family "Bacterial small subunit ribosomal RNA", at positions 355 to 896 of the family's 1533-position model. The record is from RNAcentral.